This 743-nucleotide ribosomal RNA is filed under the name Escherichia coli. RNAcentral's name for it is "partial 23S ribosomal RNA". It matches the Rfam family "Bacterial large subunit ribosomal RNA", at positions 2179 to 2916 of the family's 2925-position model. The record is from RNAcentral. Lineage: Bacteria; Pseudomonadati; Pseudomonadota; Gammaproteobacteria; Enterobacterales; Enterobacteriaceae.
CAUGGAGCCGACCUUGAAAUACCACCCUUUAAUGUUUGAUGUUCUAACGUUGACCCGUAAUCCGGGUUGCGGACAGUGUCUGGUGGGUAGUUUGACUGGGGCGGUCUCCUCCUAAAGAGUAACGGAGGAGCACGAAGGUUGGCUAAUCCUGGUCGGACAUCAGGAGGUUAGUGCAAUGGCAUAAGCCAGCUUGACUGCGAGCGUGACGGCGCGAGCAGGUGCGAAAGCAGGUCAUAGUGAUCCGGUGGUUCUGAAUGGAAGGGCCAUCGCUCAACGGAUAAAAGGUACUCCGGGGAUAACAGGCUGAUACCGCCCAAGAGUUCAUAUCGACGGCGGUGUUUGGCACCUCGAUGUCGGCUCAUCACAUCCUGGGGCUGAAGUAGGUCCCAAGGGUAUGGCUGUUCGCCAUUUAAAGUGGUACGCGAGCUGGGUUUAGAACGUCGUGAGACAGUUCGGUCCCUAUCUGCCGUGGGCGCUGGAGAACUGAGGGGGGCUGCUCCUAGUACGAGAGGACCGGAGUGGACGCAUCACUGGUGUUCGGGUUGUCAUGCCAAUGGCACUGCCCGGUAGCUAAAUGCGGAAGAGAUAAGUGCUGAAAGCAUCUAAGCACGAAACUUGCCCCGAGAUGAGUUCUCCCUGACUCCUUGAGAGUCCUGAAGGAACGUUGAAGACGACGACGUUGAUAGGCCGGGUGUGUAAGCGCAGCGAUGCGUUGAGCUAACCGGUACUAAUGAACCGUGAGG